CCACCCCAAUUAGCCUUUGAAUUGAUUUAGUGAGAAAAACAUCUAUUAUGGAAUAAAAGUCUUAGUGAUUAGUGUUGCAUUAUUUCACUACAUUUGAAAUGGCUGUAGUUUGCUGCGAAGAACCUGGAGUGAGAUGAGUGGUGAUGAUUCUUUCUCUGGAGUGUGAAUCCUGGUGGUACAUCGGGUACAUCCUGACAUAUGACUUGUACUGCUAGGAAAGGACACAGGAGAGAAGAGAGUCCUCUGCUUCAGCUGAAAUUAUUGCACGGGGCUGGAAAAAAGUAUUAUUUGUAGAAAGUAUGCAAGGAUCAGCAGUAAAUGAAUUUGAAGCAAAGGUGAAGCAAACUUUCAAGAAAUACCAUGAAACUGCAAACUGGUGAUUACACUACACAUGAAGGUCAGUUUGAGGUAACAUCAGGACUGUAGUCCAACGUUGGCAAAGAUUUUUUUGUUAAAGCUAUGUUUUCUAUGACUUUAGAUGAUUAUUCUAAAAUUACAAAACCAGAAUUUUAAGCUUCUGCAUAUACUGAUUUCUGGAAAGAAAAUCAAUUGCCAAUGCAGAUAAUAGGUAUAUGAAUAUUAUAUGAAUGUCUUGAAUUGCUG
Molecule: long non-coding RNA, 603 nt
Filed under: Zonotrichia albicollis (white-throated sparrow)
Lineage: Eukaryota; Metazoa; Chordata; Aves; Passeriformes; Passerellidae
Description: lncRNA (ENSZALG00000002842.1)
Source: RNAcentral